Molecule: ribosomal RNA, 301 nt
Filed under: uncultured bacterium
Lineage: Bacteria
Description: partial 16S ribosomal RNA
Rfam family: Bacterial small subunit ribosomal RNA
Source: RNAcentral
CAGUAGCCACGGGAAUACGUAGGGUGCGAGCGUUGUCCGGAAUUACUGGGCGUAAAGAGCUCGUAGGCGGUUUGUCACGUCGUCUGUGAAAUCCUAGGGCUUAACCCUGGACGUGCAGGCGAUACGGGCUGACUUGAGUACUACAGGGGAGACUGGAAUUUCUGGUGUAGCGGUGGAAUGCACAGAUAUCAAGAAGAACACCGAUGGCGAAGGCAGGUCUCUGGGUAGUAACUGACGCUGAGGAGCGAAAGCAUGGGUAGCGAACAGGAUUAGAUACCCCAGUAGUCCCUGUCUCUUAUAC